RNAcentral lists this ribosomal RNA (434 nucleotides) under uncultured bacterium. RNAcentral describes it as "bacterial SSU rRNA". It matches the Rfam family "Bacterial small subunit ribosomal RNA", at positions 29 to 507 of the family's 1533-position model. The record is from RNAcentral.
AGCGAACGCUGGCGGCAGGCUUAACACAUGCAAGUCGAACGGGCGUAGCAAUACGUCAGUGGCAGACGGGUGAGUAACGCGUGGGAACGUACCUUUUGGUUCGGAACAACACAGGGAAACUUGUGCUAAUACCGAAUAAGCCCUUACGGGGAAAGAUUUAUCGCCGAAAGAUCGGCCCGCGUCUGAUUAGCUAGUUGGUGAGGUAACGGCUCACCAAGGCGACGAUCAGUAGCUGGUCUGAGAGGAUGAUCAGCCACAUUGGGACUGAGACACGGCCCAAACUCCUACGGGAGGCAGCAGUGGGGAAUAUUGGACAAUGGGCGCAAGCCUGAUCCAGCCAUGCCGCGUGAGUGAUGAAGGCCCUAGGGUUGUAAAGCUCUUUUGUGCGGGAAGAUAAUGACGGUACCGCAAGAAUAAGCCCGGCUAACUUCGUG